Molecule: ribosomal RNA, 497 nt
Filed under: uncultured bacterium
Lineage: Bacteria
Description: partial 16S ribosomal RNA
Rfam family: Bacterial small subunit ribosomal RNA
Source: RNAcentral
GACGAACGCUGGCGGCGUGCCUAAUACAUGCAAGUAGAACGCUGAAACUUGGUGCUUGCACCGAGCGGAUGAGUUGCGAACGGGUGAGUAACGCGUAGGUAACCUGCCUGGUAGCGGGGGAUAACUAUUGGAAACGAUAGCUAAUACCGCAUAAGAGUAGAUGUUGCAUGACAUUUGCUUAAAAGGUGCAAUUGCACCACUACCAGAUGGACCUGCGUUGUAUUAGCUAGUUGGUGGGGUAACGGCUCACCAAGGCGACGAUACAUAGCCGACCUGAGAGGGUGAUAGGCCACACUGGGACUGAGACACGGCCCAGACUACUACGGGAGGCAGCAGUAGGGAAUCUUCGGCAAUGGACGGAAGUCUGACCGAGCAACGCCGCGUGAGUGAAGAAGGUUUUCGGAUCGUAAAGCUCUGUUGUAAGAGAAGAACGAGUGUGAGAGUGGAAAGUUCACACUGUGACGGUAUCUUACCAGAAAGGGACGGCUAACUACGUG